Molecule: ribosomal RNA, 320 nt
Filed under: uncultured eukaryote
Lineage: Eukaryota
Description: partial 18S ribosomal RNA
Rfam family: Eukaryotic small subunit ribosomal RNA
Source: RNAcentral
CCCCUAGAUGCUCUGGGCCGCACGCGCGCUACACUGAACAGUUCAACAAGUCUUAACCUUGGCCGAUAGGUCUGGGUAAUCUUUGAACGCUGUUCGUGAUUGGGAUAGACCUUUGCAAUUAUGGGUCUUCAACGAGGAAUUCCUAGUAAACGCAAGUCAUCAGCUUGCAUUGAUUACGUCCCUGCCCUUUGUACACACCGCCCGUCGCACCUACCGAUUGAAUGGUCCGGUGAAAUCUCGGGACGGCGGCUUGGUCGCUUGCGUCCGACUGCUGAAACUUGAUUAAACCAUAUCAUUUAGAGGAAGGUGAANUCGUAACA